GAUGAACGCUGGCGGCGUGCUUAACACAUGCAAGUCGAGCGAGAAGACUUUGACAGAUCCUUCGGGUGAUGGAAAAGUUGGAAAGCGGCGGACGGGUGAGUAACGCGUGGGCAACCUGCCCCAUACAGGAGGAUAGCCACUGGAAACGGUGAUUAAUACUCCAUAAGACCACAGCACCACAUGGUGCAGAGGUAAAAACUCCGGUGGUAUGGGAUGGGCCCGCGUCUGAUUAGCUAGUUGGUAAGGUAACGGCUUACCAAGGCGACGAUCAGUAGCCGACCUGAGAGGGUGAUCGGCCACACUGGAACUGAGACACGGUCCAGACUCCUACGGGAGGCAGCAGUGGGGAAUAUUGCACAAUGGGCGAAAGCCUGAUGCAGCAACGCCGCGUGAACGAUGAAGGCCUUCGGGUUGUAAAGUUCUUUUCUUGGAGAAGAAUCCAUGACGGUAUCCAAGGAAUAAGCCCCGGCUAACUACGUGCCAGCAGCCGCGGUAAUACGUAGGGGGCAAGCGUUAUCCGGAAUCACUGGGCGUAAAGGGAGUGUAGGCGGUCAAGCAGUCAGA
RNAcentral lists this ribosomal RNA (564 nucleotides) under uncultured bacterium. Its description in RNAcentral is "bacterial SSU rRNA". It matches the Rfam family "Bacterial small subunit ribosomal RNA", at positions 28 to 591 of the family's 1533-position model. The record is from RNAcentral.